RNAcentral lists this transfer RNA (71 nucleotides) under Loxodonta africana (African savanna elephant). It matches the Rfam family "tRNA". From Rfam's summary of the family: Transfer RNA (tRNA) molecules are approximately 80 nucleotides in length. Their secondary structure includes four short double-helical elements and three loops (D, anti-codon, and T loops). Further hydrogen bonds mediate the characteristic L-shaped molecular structure. tRNAs have two regions of fundamental functional importance: the anti-codon, which is responsible for specific mRNA codon recognition, and the 3' end, to which the tRNAs corresponding amino acid is attached (by aminoacyl-tRNA synthetases). tRNAs cope with the degeneracy of the genetic code in two manners: having more than one tRNA (with a specific anti-codon) for a particular amino acid; and 'wobble' base-pairing, i.e. permitting non-standard base-pairing at the 3rd anti-codon position. Lineage: Eukaryota; Metazoa; Chordata; Mammalia; Proboscidea; Elephantidae. The record is from Rfam by way of RNAcentral.
GCAUUGGUAUUUCAGUGGUAGAAUUCUUGCCUUCCAGGGGCGAGACCUGGGUUUGAUUCCUGGCCAAUGCG